Molecule: transfer RNA, 85 nt
Filed under: Candidatus Cryptobacteroides aphodequi
Lineage: Bacteria; Pseudomonadati; Bacteroidota; Bacteroidia; Bacteroidales
Description: tRNA-Leu
Rfam family: tRNA
About the family: Transfer RNA (tRNA) molecules are approximately 80 nucleotides in length. Their secondary structure includes four short double-helical elements and three loops (D, anti-codon, and T loops). Further hydrogen bonds mediate the characteristic L-shaped molecular structure. tRNAs have two regions of fundamental functional importance: the anti-codon, which is responsible for specific mRNA codon recognition, and the 3' end, to which the tRNAs corresponding amino acid is attached (by aminoacyl-tRNA synthetases). tRNAs cope with the degeneracy of the genetic code in two manners: having more than one tRNA (with a specific anti-codon) for a particular amino acid; and 'wobble' base-pairing, i.e. permitting non-standard base-pairing at the 3rd anti-codon position.
Source: RNAcentral
GCCCGAGUGGCGGAAUUGGUAGACGCGCUGGACUCAAAAUCCUGUGUCCUCAACAGACGUGCCGGUUCGAGCCCGGCCCCGGGCA